GCCGACGUAGCUCAGCUGGCCAGAGCACCGCUCUCGUAAAGCGGGGGUCGGGAGUUCGAAUCUCCCCGUCGGCU
Molecule: transfer RNA, 74 nt
Filed under: Acidobacteriota bacterium
Lineage: Bacteria; Pseudomonadati; Acidobacteriota
Description: tRNA-Thr
Rfam family: tRNA
About the family: Transfer RNA (tRNA) molecules are approximately 80 nucleotides in length. Their secondary structure includes four short double-helical elements and three loops (D, anti-codon, and T loops).
Source: RNAcentral